Molecule: long non-coding RNA, 1189 nt
Filed under: Ananas comosus (pineapple)
Lineage: Eukaryota; Viridiplantae; Streptophyta; Magnoliopsida; Poales; Bromeliaceae
Description: long non-coding RNA (ACOM_LNC008537)
Source: RNAcentral
AGGUAAUGGUUUUGUCUUGUAUAAAACAGCUUCUCCCAAUGGAUAUUUAGCUGAGUUUUUGGGUCUUGGAUUUUUGCCUGCUCUGUAAAAAAAAAAAAAAAAAAAAAAAAAAAAAAAAAAAAAAACAAGGUAUUUACGUUUUCACGGCAGCACUUAGCUUUCACAGAUACGUUAGUUUCAGAUAUAUUUCUAAAUAGUUCCAUUUGGGCUGUUUUUAUGCUUUAAUUCAGAAUUUUAUUCCUGCAUUACUUGAUAAUAUGUAAAAUCAGGUGCCAGUUAAAUGUAACUUGGUAUAUUAUGCUAUGCUUAUGUGGUCAUUUAUAUGGACAUCUCUUUACAGUUUGCUGAUGAACUCUUUCUUGUAAAUGAUGGCUUACCAUAUUCAAAACCUGGUUUAUUUGUUUAUUAUUAUUCUGUACUUACCAUAUUCAAAACCUGGUUUAUUUGUUUAUUAUUAUUCUGUAUUAUUGUUUCAUUUUGUGCACUUUUAAUUGGUGUUCUUGUUUAAAUUCCAUGCAUAGGUUGUGGACUUUAUUUCAGAUUGUUGCUAUAUAUGUGGUAGGCCUCACAAGUUAAUGUUCUUUAUCUUUGAUCUUUGAUGAUGUCCUUGUGGAAGUAACAACAUUGAAUUGCUAGACACACAUAUGCACAGAGAAGUAAAUUCUCAUGGCAAGCUAUUAUGUCUUGUCGGUUGUAACAAUGCAUUCUUGGGGAGAAAUAUUCAGUGGACCUCCCAUGUAAUCUCCUUUUGCUGCAGAAAUUCCUUCUAUUUGAGUGUUGUUUAUCAGUUAGGGGAAUGCCUGUUGAUCUGCAUUUACUUCUUUGUAUCUUUAGGUUCUUUCUAAAUUUCCUUUCUUUUCCCUUGUUGUUAAACUGCGUUCAGUUUAUCCUGUAAAAUGCAUUGAUAACGUAAGCUCUGCAGAUCCAUUCUUUGCUCAAAUACUGAGAAUUUUUCGUUUUUGUGCAUGGCUUCGUAAAACCAUCUUUCCAGAAUAUAUUGCAGACGAUAUGAUGAAAUACAUUCCAGUUUCUUUAUCUAAACAGUGUACUCUCUCCCUCUGCAUUUUGCUUCUUCCUAGUAAUUCAAUGGUUAUUUUAAGUAUAUUUGAUCUGACUAGAUUAUUGUCUAUGUAUUUCAGAUUAUGUUAUGCAGUAUGGUAAAAUGACAUUAUUCCUUCUUGCUGCAGAG